UCCUGGUUAGCUCACUUGGUAGAGCGCUCUUCUGUAAAUGGAGAGGUUCAUUGUUCGAUACCAGGACCAGGCG
Molecule: non-coding RNA, 73 nt
Organism: Ixodes scapularis (black-legged tick)
Lineage: Eukaryota; Metazoa; Arthropoda; Arachnida; Ixodida; Ixodidae
Source: Rfam